Molecule: small RNA, 3664 nt
Filed under: Vigna angularis var. angularis
Lineage: Eukaryota; Viridiplantae; Streptophyta; Magnoliopsida; Fabales; Fabaceae
Description: Non-protein coding transcript
Source: RNAcentral
UUUUUUUUCCUCUACACGGAUUCUAUCCAAUUUGCUAACACCUCGAUGAUUUAUAAUUAUAUGUCUCAUUUUAUUUGGAAAAAUAAAAUUCUUCCCCCUUGAAUUUUGUGGGGAGCCGUAGUAGCACAGAAACCGAAACCAAAAACAAAAUUCAGCAACACGCAAUUCAUUGGAAGCGAUCAUAUAGAUAUACAAUCAACAAUGCUUUGCAAUACAAAUAUGUUGUGUUGAACUACCAAAUUAAGUUCUACAUAGACGAAUAAACUCCUCAAAAGAUUUCUGUGCCUCAUUUGCCAGAAUAGGAUGUUAACAGAAUAUCUUUGUCAUCCUUGUCAUUAACAUGCAUGAGAAGCUUUUGCCAGUACUAUAUUUUUGGUGUAGAAUCCUGCAAGAACUGCAUUGCCUGGUUGUACCAUUUAUGGCUGCAAAGAAAGAGAGAAAGCAUUCCUGAGAAUUAUAAUCAUUGCACAUGAUGUGAUUAGUAGAAAUUUUAGUUCAGAUCAACUCUUCAACCACACUUAGUUUUAAGUUUUAUGACAGUUUACUGAAUACCUGCUUCAGAACAAAUUACAAGUUUUUUUGGUUCGCAUAUGAAGCUUUUUCAAACCCACAAUUAAAAGUACAAAACAAUAUUUUCCUUGCAAUGUUAAUCUCUUCAGAUUGUAGCUGUGAAGGCGAAUCGUAAAAUGUUCCUUCAAAUAAAGCCAGAAAUUGAUCCCCAAGAUAAAUUCAUUUAACAAACACAUCACAUGACAUUUCAAUUAGUUCCAUAUCCUAAUCAAAACUAUUUGAACAAGUUUACUAUAUUUAAUGCACGAGGAAUGGAUUUAAUACCACUAAUUACAAUUUAAAUGAGAUGGGUUUGCACUAAAAGGGUUAACAAUUUUACCUUGCAAGUAUUUGCAUAUCUGAUUUAUGUGAAACACACCUUUACUUGAAAAGAAAUUUCUAAUUAGGAAGACAAAAGCCACUUCCCAUGCACUCUAACCUGAUUAUUUGAUGCUUGUUCAUGUAAUCUAUUAUUAGGCUUCAUGUUCAAAUCAAUCAUUUUUGUUUCCAUCUUGGUAUGCCCAUCAGCAGCAGAUCCUGGUGUUGGAAGCAGAGGCAUCACAUGAUUGUGCUGCUUCUCUCCCAUUUUUAGUUUGGGAAGUUGAUUUUGUCCUCUUUUACUCUCACCAGGUUCCAAUGGCUGUGAACCUGGAUUUUCAGCAUGACUAGAUUUGUCUCCUGGAAACUGUGGAACAAGGAGACAUUAUUACACCUUUUAAGGAAACCCAAUAGUAAAUAAACCCCAGUUUAAUCCCUAAGAUUGUAAGCAUUGGUCACUUUAAUCCUUGACUUUGUAAAAUAUAUUCAUUUCAGUUUUUCUUCACCAACAUUAAGGACUAAAACGAAUAACAUUUUAUAAAGUUAGGUACUGAAGUGAGCCUUGUGCAAAGCUAGAGAUUAAAACAGCCAAACUUACAAUCUUAAUACAAAAUUUUGGUGGGUUUAGUCAAUAAACAUAUCAAGACCAGUUCACUCACUAACCUCAACUCUUUGCCUGAACAGAAGAUAUCUUCCAUGCGUUCUUUUACCUCCAACAUGAACUAUCAUAUCACACUGCAAACAAAGGGAACUUCCAUCUGUCUCACAAUAGAAGAAAGCUACAUCCAGAUUGAAAGGGUAAACACAUAUAAACAAUAAGCAUCAUAGGAACACCAUAAGGAUAGAAAGAAGAAACCACCUACCAGGUGCAUUCUCACAUAUGUCACACCGUGGCACAUCACUUGGACUUGCAAGACCAACUCUCACAUGUCUACUUGCUAGCUUGUUGCACAUGUGAACCUGUCAGCUCCAAAACAUUAAUCUUCUACCCUUUGGUUCAAAGUUGUUGACCACAAAAACCAACACCAAACAAAAGUAAAAUACAGACUCAGAUUUUCAAUUCACACAACACCGCAACAAGAUCAAAUCGAAUCGAAGCAUAUCUAUGAAGCUACAAGAGGGUCAACCUUCAAGCCCUUCAAUUCGUUACCCCAUACAUACAUGAACUUCUCCAAGUUUCUCCCAGGAUUUCAAUAUUCUUAAAUUACCAAUGAAAUAUAGUGACCGUGUCGUAUUUUUCAAUAAACACCAGAUCAUAACAUUCAAGUCAGUGAUCUAAACGAAACACCAAAACACAAGUACAAAACACAGAUCAAUAUCGAUAAUGAGCACAACAUAUCACAAAGAAGAUCCAGAAAGUAUUGACAAAAAAAAAACACCUUCUCAUCGCAAGCACGACAAAGUGCAGCCUCGUCAGCGGCGCAGAAAACUAUAGCCGCCGCACUCUCACAAGCAUCACAAAGCGUUCGCAUGGUUGGACUCUCCCACUUUCAUUGCUUCAGGCAACAGACAGAAAGAAAGUUACAGUGAGACAGAAAAACACAAUAUAUGUAUCUAUGUGUGUAUUAUGAUGAUGAAUAUAUAUGAGCAUAGAAAGAGAAGGGAGGCAGAGAAGAAGACAGGUGUUCACCAAAUCCAUGUGGGUAUGAUAGUUUUGUUUUUCAGCGAAUGUUAUGUUGUUUGUGAAAGAGGGUGGAGGUGGUGGUUGAUGAAGAUGAUGAUGGGGAAGGACUAUGAUUAGAGUGUGGGAUAAAAGAAAGGAUUUUGAAGGAGUGGGGGGACCUUGAUGGUUGAUUCCAAAACUUUGCAAAGACACAAUAAAUGAGUGUUUGUCAACUCUGUUGGCCUCAAACAUUACUUCGUAGCCACAAGUUCAAAGCCAAUGCAGAGUUGACAGCAACUCACGCUUCAUUCUCACCCACCAAUUAAUUAUCUGACAUGGGACCCACAUCCUUCCCAUGUUUCUUGUUUCUUUCAUCCUUCCUAGCCUCUGCCUAACUUCUCCUUCCUUUUCAGCCACAACAACCAAAGCCAUGAAUCUUCCAUCUUCUUCUCUACCUGUCCCUUCUAUCCAUUUUCCUGCUCACUCUUACUUUAACUUCUUUAUCUACUCUACACCCAAAUUCUCAUACACACUUAUUACAAAUCUAUAAGAUGCGUACGUUUGCUUUUUUAGAGUUUUACUGGAUUUAUAAAAACAAGACUUUUGAAUGAAUCAACAGGGAUGGUGGAUUUCAAUGGAUUCGUCAAUAUCUAUACUGUUAAUAAAUGGACGACUCAUCAAACAGGUCUGAACAUCUUUGCAUGAGUAGUUGGCCGAGAAAAAAAAGAACUUUAGAUACUGUUUACAGUCCACAAUCAGAAGCACAAGAGACACUGAUCAAAUGGUAAUUUUCACUGUUCCUAGAAUAACUUUCCCAAACAGAAAUAAAAGGGGACUCAAGAUUUGUUUACAGCUUGUCACCUCUAUUAUUGCUUUACAUCAUCACAUGUUUCGGAAGCUCUGUCAAAUUAGCCUGACAUUUUAGCUGAUACUCUUUAAAAAGUUGGGAAUUUCCCAUCAGUAACCUUAUAUGUCUUUUUUUUUUUCAUAGAGAAUAAAGUGAGUUUGUUCUGGAUUGCUUUUGUUUAGUGUGUGCUACCAUUUAGUAAAGAUGAGAUGUAUACAGAUGCAUGAAACAGUAAUGUAGAACAGUGGCAACUUUUAAAGCAAAUAUUGAUUAUAACAUAAAACCUGUAAUGAGUUUAUAACAACUGUUUUUAAGUAUGUGGCUAGAGAUUGGUCAUUUUAAAUAGG